UCCCCUAACCCCUUUAAUUAUUCCGUAAAUCUGGAGUUCUCGGUUGAUGCUCGAUUCAACAUCUUGGGUGUUCUUAGUCACUAGGAUGAGCUUAAUAUUUUGCAAUUAGUCAUUGGCUUUGAUGCAAAAGAUCACUAAUUAUGAAGCUUAAGGCAGCAACUAAAUUGAUGAAGCCUUGAUGUCUUAACUUGCACAUGAGACCUACUGUGUUGAUAUUGCUAAGUUCGCAUUUUGAUUCUUGAGCAUCUAUGGUUCUAAGUUCUUGACUAUCUAUUGGGGUUGGUUUAUAUGAUGUAAAGCAUGAUGUUGGGUGUUGAGGCAAUUACCUAUUGAAGCUGCGGCUGCUUUGAGAAUUCAGCUCUUAAAACCUCAUCUUUCUUCCACUCAAACUUGCUGUGUUGCUGGAAAAAUUUGAAGGGGUGCAGGUGGUUGCUUGAUUCAGGCAGAUUUGGUGCAGCUGCCAUUUUGGGAUCAUUUUGACCUCCUUUGAUAAAGUUGUACCCAUAGGAGAAAGAGUUAUUGGGCUGUUAUUGGGCUGACCUUCGGGCCGACGGGCCAAACUCUCGGGCUGCGCAAGGUGUGACUCGGGCUUAAGAAGAGAGGCCCAACAUUUGCAUAUUUUUAUUCUUUAAUUCUUUCUCAUCAACACGUGUGUAAAUUAUUUUGUAACUAGAGAGUAGCUUGAUAUGUAUUCGAACUUUCUGGAUCAGCAAAGUAACCUCGUAUUCUUUCUUGACGUUUAUUAUAUUUAAUUUAAUAC
Molecule: non-coding RNA, 760 nt
Organism: Salvia hispanica
Lineage: Eukaryota; Viridiplantae; Streptophyta; Magnoliopsida; Lamiales; Lamiaceae
Source: RefSeq, a predicted model, not a curated record